AUAUUUAAGUAUAAAAUAUCUUUCAUAAUUAAACUGCCUAGUUGCACUGUGUUUUAGCCUGUUGUUUUGGCAUUGUUUUGCAAUGAUGAAUGAGGCGUUUGGCCUAAUCUGCAGGCCUACUCCACAUACAGUCCAUUGUUAUCAUGUGUUAGUUUCUGUCAUGUUCUGCAUGGCCAAUAUGAAGUGAUUUUAUGGAUUUGGUUAGGCUCAUUGUAGGACAGAUGAUUAAAAAAGGCACUAGGGAUAUUUUCAUGAUCUUAAAAUAUUCUAACAAGUAGGCUCUCUCUUUUUCAAGAUGCAUAUAACAAUCCAAAAAGGGAGAUCCCUGUCCCAUAUUUAUAUUAAUGUUUUUCAUAGGCCAUCAUAUAUGCCCUGGGCUGCCCUCCGGAAUUUGUCCUUGCAGGAGGCUGAGGAGGUCUUCCUUUCUGGUCCAGAUUAUCAUUUCAGUGAAGUGGAAGAAUUUAAUAGAAAGAUUGACAAACAAUUGAGGAAAGAAGGGAGACCAUUCAAUUGAGUUGAAGCCUACAGCCAUUCUAUCCAUGCAGCAACUGAUGGAAAAAGGGUUCGCUUUGGUGCUGUUGUCGCAAAAAUGACAUUUUAUAUAUAUAUAUAUAUAUAUAUAUAUAUAUAUAUAUAUAUAUAUAUAUAAAU
Long non-coding RNA from Megalobrama amblycephala (Wuchang bream), 651 nucleotides. RefSeq lists it as uncharacterized. NCBI's taxonomy places the organism in Eukaryota, Metazoa, Chordata, Actinopteri, Cypriniformes, Xenocyprididae. The record is from RefSeq and is a predicted model, not a curated record. The transcript is spliced from 3 exons.